This is an RNA transcript of Dermacentor silvarum, 2244 nucleotides long. It is a transcript of the gene named cuticle protein 10.9-like, with no coding region annotated. The record is from RefSeq and is a predicted model, not a curated record. NCBI's taxonomy places the organism in Eukaryota, Metazoa, Arthropoda, Arachnida, Ixodida, Ixodidae. The transcript has 4 exons.
UUCGGCGAGGGGGUGCAUAGAACUUUCCCGAGUCCGUAUAAAGGCCGGUGAUCCUCCAGCGCACGGCGUCACUUUGUGCGAGCUCUGUGCGCAGGUACCAGCAUAUCCGGAAAGGCCCGUCGUGCACCAAGCUUAUCGGUUACAUUGCUUUGCUGCUUCGUCACGCGAAGCCGUUCAAGAAGAAUAUGGGCCCCCUGGUGAAACUGUUUCUUCUAGCCGUUCUGACGGUGGCGUACGCACAGCAGGACUACGACAACUCUCCGCCCGAGCCGUACGAGUUCAAGUAUGACGUGAAGGACGAAGAGGGCAACACGCAGAUGCACGAACAGUCCAGCGAUGGCUCAGGCACUGUUCGCGGCUCGUAUGGAUACACGGACAAGGACGGACUGUUCCGCAUCGUCGAGUACAUCGCUGACGCUAACGGGUUCCGAGCCAUGAUCAAGACCAACGAGCCCGGAACCAAGUCCGGAGGAUCUGCUGACGCGCCCGUAGAGUCGUCCGCGCCUGAUCAAUAAGCUGAUGCCCCGGCAAAGCGCCGUGGGGGGGGGGGGGGGGGGUGUCGUUGAAAGGGUCAAGGAUAGAGGAGGCGGGGAGGGUUAGGCAUUAGAAUGAACAAGGGACGGGCAGUUCAUUUUGUCCCUCCACCUAAACCGCGGCGUGGCGCCGACUGCGUAGCCUUCAAUCUGAAAACAAGCGGAGCUCUAUUUCUCGCGGCCACCGGCUUUUACUGUGCUACCUGACGGGAAUGAAGCGUAGUAGUUUAUGCGUACGCGUUUCUCGGUUCGCCUAGCUAAACAAACAGAGAGAUACUCGUGUCUUGGGUGGGCGCGGGCUAAGCCUAACGCACGACGUUCUGGGAACCGGUUGCACUUGCUGCAAGUAACGCGUGAAGAGCAUUCGCUUGCGGUUCAGCGUGCUUCAAUCCGGACUGCAGGUACUCGCUCCGGUGCUUCGUCACCCAGCUGAGGUGGAGGGGCACCCGGUAGUAUCCAGUCCGUGUGUCGGUAAUAAAUGCUGGGUGGUAGACUUGCUGGGCGCCGAAGUUACCGAGCACUACCUCGUGUCGGAUGCGUUCGGAGCAGCGUUUAUCACCGAUGCACGCUAAAGGAGUGGUAGCAAAUUGAGCGCUUUAGCAGCACUAAGGUACAGCUUUUAAGGGCGGGACUCGCCUUUCUCCGUUGAACCUCAGUGCACUGUCACGUGCCUGGCGUUUCGCGUCCAAAUAUGAACGAGGCUUCUUAAUUUUCGAAGGAGCAGCCUGGACUUGCGUAGGGUUCACAUUUUCGUACAUGCUUGAAAGUGCGUUGGCUCCGUCUUCUUGCCGGUGUCGCGCUCCUUAAGACUGAGGCAGGUUUUCAAGCAGCCUGCUGCGAAGAGCUGGCGGAGUAACUAUCCGAAACGCUCGUCCGAUCACGAAAUGCAAAUGCUUUUCAACUUGGCAGGUUACAUUGAAUUGUUAGAGCGUUACAUUUGAAAAAAAAAAUGCUUGUUCGUCUUUCUGUUUUUGCUUGUAAGAUUUAAGCACUACUCCUAAACGGGUUUUAUUUCUCUUAUUUUUGUGCUACACAGCGCGCACAGCAAGAGGAAUUGUUAUGUGAUACACGAAGUUUGCCGUUGCGUGUGACUGCGACUGCUUUUUUUUUUGCUUCUAUUACUUUUACUUUCCGUGAACGAUCCGCGCGCAUUAACGCCGGUCUUCUACUGCCAAAUGCGACUAACCGGGACAAAGUGCAAGCUUUGCAGCUUUUUGUGUGCGUGAUGUGUGUUGUCCUCUCCUCAGUGUGGUUGCCGUCAAGAGAACUUUAUUUAUUUAUUGGCGCUUCUGUGAUGUCAGUGGAAGUAUACUAUGUCGCUUAGAUAUCUGUGAUGUGUGUGCCUUUAAUGAGAGAAACAAAAGAGCAGUUACUGUAGCAUUCCUGUAGUAGUAGUGCCUGCGUACUGGUUGUCGCUGUUGUGGUACGUGCUAAAGGGGUUCUUGCGGGCACAACUAUUUCUUCUGCAGGAUUCAUGAGCGUGAUCGCACCUGACGCUUCGAUUUGCUACAACAGUUUGCUUGCUUAUAUGUUACGACCGGUUAAAAACAACGUUCGCAUUACAGCAUUCCAACAUUCACCUUUUAUGUGAGAUUAACUUUGCUUUCGUUCGUUUUGUCGUGGUACUUAGUUUUCAGUGCGCCUUUGGCGAAGCAGUGUUCUGUUCUUGAGCCUGUUAGUACACUUAAUAAAACCUUAUUUUCGGAAUGCC